UACGGAGGGUGCAAGCGUUGCUCGGAAUUACUGGGCGUAAAGCGUACGCAGGCGGCCCGUUAAGUCAGGGGUGAAAGCCCAAGGCUCAACCUUGGAAUUGCCUUUGAUACUGAGGGCCUUGAGACCGGAAGAGGUCGGCGGAACUGCGAGUGUAGAGGUGAAAUUCGUAGAUAUUCGCAAGAACACCGGUGGCGAAGGCGGCCUGCUGGGCAGUAGCUGACGCUGAUGCGCGACAGCGUGGGGAGCAAACAGG
This 253-nucleotide ribosomal RNA is filed under the name uncultured bacterium. RNAcentral's name for it is "partial 16S ribosomal RNA". It matches the Rfam family "Bacterial small subunit ribosomal RNA", at positions 524 to 776 of the family's 1533-position model. The record is from RNAcentral.